GACGAACGCUGGCGGCGUGCUUAACACAUGCGAGUCGAACGGAAAGGCCCUGCUUUUGUGGGGUGCUCGAGUGGCGAACGUGUGAGUAACACGUGAGUAACCUGCCCUUGACUUUGGGAUAACUUCAGGAAACUGGGGCUAAUACCGGAUAGGAGCUCCUGCUGCAUGGUGGGGGUUGGAAAGUUUCGGCGGUUGGGGAUGGACUCGCGGCUUAUCAGCUUGUUGGUGUGGUAGUUGCUUACCAAGGCUUUGACGGGUAGCCGGCCUGAGAGGGUGACCGGACACAUUGGGACUGAGAUACGGCGCAGACUCCUACGGGAGGCAGCAGUGGGGAAUAUUGCACAAUGGGCGGAAGCCUGAUGCAGCAACGCCGCGUGCGGGAUGACGGCCUUCGGGUUGUAAACCGAUUUCGCCUGUGACGAAGCGUGAGUGACGGUAAUGGGUAAAGAAGCACCGGCUAACUACGUG
RNAcentral lists this ribosomal RNA (468 nucleotides) under uncultured bacterium. RNAcentral's name for it is "partial 16S ribosomal RNA". It matches the Rfam family "Bacterial small subunit ribosomal RNA", at positions 28 to 507 of the family's 1533-position model. The record is from RNAcentral.